This 377-nucleotide ribosomal RNA is filed under the name uncultured eukaryote. RNAcentral's name for it is "partial 18S ribosomal RNA". It matches the Rfam family "Eukaryotic small subunit ribosomal RNA", at positions 592 to 976 of the family's 1831-position model. The record is from RNAcentral.
CAAUAGCGUAUAUUAAAGUUGUUGCAGUUAAAAAGCUCGUAGUUGGAUUUCGGGGCAGCCUGGCUGGUCCGCCGCAAGGCGAGUACUGGUCAGCCGCCCUUCCUCUCGAAAGCCCCGACUGCUCUUUAUUGCAGUGGUCGGGUAGUUCGGGACGUUUACUUUGAAAAAAUUAGAGUGUUCAAGGCAGGCCUACGCCUGAAUACAUUAGCAUGGAAUAAUGGAAGAGGACCUCGGUCCUAUUUUGUUGGUUUCCAGGACCGAAGUAAUGAUUAAGAGGGACAGUUGGGGGCAUUCGUAUUUAAUUGUCAGAGGUGAAAUUCUCGGAUUUAUGAAAGACGAACAACUGCAAAAGCAUUUGCCAAGGAUGUUUUCAUUAA